RNAcentral lists this transfer RNA (88 nucleotides) under Candidatus Nomurabacteria bacterium. RNAcentral describes it as "tRNA-Leu". It matches the Rfam family "tRNA". From Rfam's summary of the family: Transfer RNA (tRNA) molecules are approximately 80 nucleotides in length. The record is from RNAcentral. Lineage: Bacteria; Candidatus Nomuraibacteriota.
GGGCGAGUGGCGGAAUCGGUAUACGCGACAGACUUAAAAUCUGUUGGUCUAAACAACCUUGCGGGUUCAAGUCCCGCCUCGCCUACCA